UACGUAGGGUGCGAGCGUUAAUCGGAAUUACUGGGCGUAAAGCGUGCGCAGGCGGUGAUGUAAGACAGAUGUGAAAUCCCCAGGCUUAACCUGGGAACUGCAUCUGAUACUGGAUGGCUUGAAUCCGGGAGAGGGAUGCAGAAUUCCAGGUGUAGCGGUGAAAUGCGUAGAUAUCUGGAGGAAUACCGGUGGCGAAGGCGGCAUCCUGGACCGGCAUUGACGCUGAGGAGCGAAAGCUAGGGGAGCAAACGGG
This 253-nucleotide ribosomal RNA is filed under the name uncultured bacterium. Its description in RNAcentral is "partial 16S ribosomal RNA". It matches the Rfam family "Bacterial small subunit ribosomal RNA", at positions 524 to 776 of the family's 1533-position model. The record is from RNAcentral.